GUCAGCUCGUGUCGUGAGAUGUUGGGUUAAGUCCCGCAACGAGCGCAACCCUUGACUUUAGUUGCCAGCAUUCAGUUGGGCACUCUAGAGUGACUGCCGGUGACAAACCGGAGGAAGGUGGGGAUGACGUCAAAUCAUCAUGCCCCUUAUGACCUGGGCUACACACGUACUACAAUGGCCGGUACAACGGGAAGCGAAGCCGCGAGGUGGAGCGAAUCUUUAGAAGCCGGUCUCAGUUCGGAUUGCAGGCUGCAACUCGCCUGCAUGAAGUCGGAAUUGCUAGUAAUCGCGGAUCAGCAUGCCGCGGU
Molecule: ribosomal RNA, 308 nt
Filed under: Paenibacillus sp. Expt2_483A1_P25WS_B10
Lineage: Bacteria; Bacillati; Bacillota; Bacilli; Caryophanales; Paenibacillaceae
Also listed under: 1 other name
Description: bacterial SSU rRNA
Rfam family: Bacterial small subunit ribosomal RNA
Source: RNAcentral